RNAcentral lists this non-coding RNA (27 nucleotides) under Mus musculus (house mouse). Lineage: Eukaryota; Metazoa; Chordata; Mammalia; Rodentia; Muridae. The record is from RNAcentral.
UCCAGAUGAAUUUGCAAAUUGCUCCUU